UUAUCUCUGUUUGACCGCCAUUAAGUCCAGAAGACGAUGGUAAUAUCGUAUUUAUUGAUAAAUAGAUAUUAUAACAGUAAAACUAUUAUUAUGGGGACAGCUGGGACUUUAACGUUAAGAUGAAAAUGAUCUUUAUACGUAAAUAUAUUACGAAAGUCUUAGGAACUAUUAGACUAAAUAUAUUCAUCAAUAACUAUACUCGCUCGAGGCAGAUAUUUGUGCUUGUAAAGAUACUAGCUUCGGGUCUGUCGAACCGUGGUGCCGUCUAUAGUGAGCUCUUUACAGAAACCCGUAACUAUUCAAAGUUUCAUAUUACAAUGAAAAUCUUUGACAGGAGACGACACCGUGCUAUUUUUAAUAUCUAAGAUUUUAUUUUUGUGUUACCCACAUUAGGAAUUCUAAACAUUUUUGAAUAUCAUAUCAAAAAUUGACCGA
This 435-nucleotide unclassified non-coding RNA is filed under the name Melitaea cinxia (Glanville fritillary). RNAcentral describes it as "misc RNA ENSMCXG00005006841.1". The record is from RNAcentral. Lineage: Eukaryota; Metazoa; Arthropoda; Insecta; Lepidoptera; Nymphalidae.